Molecule: ribosomal RNA, 404 nt
Filed under: Actinomycetes bacterium
Lineage: Bacteria; Bacillati; Actinomycetota; Actinomycetes
Description: Actinobacteria bacterium partial 16S ribosomal RNA
Rfam family: Bacterial small subunit ribosomal RNA
Source: RNAcentral
UGGGGAAUAUUGGACAAUGGGCGCAAGCCUGAUCCAGCCAUGCCGCGUGAGUGAUGAAGGCCCUAGGGUUGUAAAGCUCUUUCACCGGUGAAGAUAAUGACGGUAACCGGAGAAGAAGCCCCGGCUAACUUCGUGCCAGCAGCCGCGGUAAUACGAAGGGGGCUAGCGUUGUCCGGAUUUACUGGGCGUAAAGCGCACGUAGGCGGUCUAUUAAGUCAGGGGUGAAAUCCCGGGGCUCAACCCCGGAACUGCCUUUGAUACUGGUAGUCUUGAGGUCGAGAGAGGUGAGUGGAAUUCCGAGUGUAGAGGUGAAGAUCGUGGAUGUUCGGGGGAACACCAGUGGCGAAGGCGGCGCACUGGCUCGAUACUGACGCUGAGGUGCGAAAGCGUGGGGAGCAAACAGG